CCAAUAGCGUAUAUUAAAGUUGUUGCAGUUAAAAAGCUCGUAGUUGAAUUUCGGGAUCAAUAUGUCGGUCGUGCCUUCGGUACGUACUGGCAUCAUUGGUUUCUCCCUUCUGACAAACCAUGAUGUCAUUAAUUUGGUGUUAUGGGGAGUUAGGACUGUUACUUUGAAAAAAUUAGAGUGUUUAAAGCAGGCAUUAGCUUGAAUACAUUAGCAUGGAAUAAUGAAAUAGGACGUUUGACCCUAUUUUGUUGGUUUCUAGGAUCGACGUAAUGAUUAAUAGGGAUAGUGGGGGGCAUUAGUAUUCAAUUGUCAGAGGUGAAAUUCUUGGAUUUAUUGAAGACUAACUACUGCGAAAGCAUUUGCCAAGGAUGUUUUCAUUAAUCAAGAACGAAAGUUAGGGGAUCGAAGACGAUCAGAUACCGUCGUAGUCUUAACCAUAAACUAUGCCGACUAGGGAUCGGAUGAUGUUAAUUUUUUAAUGACUCAUUCGGCGCCUUAC
Molecule: ribosomal RNA, 499 nt
Filed under: uncultured Glomus
Lineage: Eukaryota; Fungi; Glomeromycota; Glomeromycetes; Glomerales; Glomeraceae
Description: SSU rRNA
Rfam family: Eukaryotic small subunit ribosomal RNA
Source: RNAcentral